Molecule: ribosomal RNA, 499 nt
Filed under: uncultured bacterium
Lineage: Bacteria
Description: partial 16S ribosomal RNA
Rfam family: Bacterial small subunit ribosomal RNA
Source: RNAcentral
AUUGAACGCUAGCGGGAUGCCUACACAUGCAAGUCGAACGGCAGCGCGGACUUCGGUCUGGCGGCGAGUGGCGAACGGGUGAGUAAUGUAUCGGAACGUGCCCAGUAGCGGGGGAUAACUACUCGAAAGAGUAGCUAAUACCGCAUACGCCCUACGGGGGAAAGGGGGGGAUCGCAAGACCUCUCACUAUUGGAGCGGCCGAUAUCGGAUUAGCUAGUUGGUGAGGUAAAGGCUCACCAAGGCGACGAUCCGUAGCUGGUUUGAGAGGACGACCAGCCACACUGGGACUGGGACACGGCCCAGACUCCUCCGGGAGGCAGCAGUGGGGAAUUUUGGACAAUGGGGGCAACCCUGAUCCAGCCAUUCCGCGUGUGCGAUGAAGGCCUUCGGGUUGUAAAGCACUUUUGGCAGGAAAGAAAUCGCACGGAUUAAUACUCUGUGUGGAUGACGGUACCUGCAGAAUAAGCACCGGCUAACUACGUGCCAGCAGCCGCCGCCG